CCUACGGGAGGCAGCAGUGAGGAAUAUUGGUCAAUGGCCGGAAGGCUGAACCAGCCAUGCCGCGUGAAGGUCAGUGCCCUAUGGGCGUUAAACUUCUUUUGUGCGGGAGCAAUAAUGGUCACGUGUGGCCAGACGAGAGUACCGUAAGAAUAAGCAUCGGCUAACUCCGUGCCAGCAGCCGCGGUAAUACAGGGGAUGCAAGCGUUAUCCGGAUUUAUUUGGUUUAAAGGGGGCGUAGGCCGUGAGGUAAGUCAGCGGUGAAAUGCCCCCGCUCAACGGGGUGAAGUGCCAUUGAUACUGCCUGGCUGGAAUGCGGAUGCCGUGGGAGGAAUGUGUGGUGUAGCGGUGAAAUGCAUAGAGAUCACACAGAACACCGAUUGCGAAGGCAGCUCACGAAGCCGCGAUUGACGCUGAUGCACGAAAGCGUGGGUAGCAAACAGGAUUAGAUACCCCAGUAGUC
This 460-nucleotide ribosomal RNA is filed under the name uncultured bacterium. RNAcentral describes it as "partial 16S ribosomal RNA". It matches the Rfam family "Bacterial small subunit ribosomal RNA", at positions 338 to 795 of the family's 1533-position model. The record is from RNAcentral.